AACAGGGGGAGCUUGCUGCAAGCAGGCUGAGAGUGGGCUGCAUCGCCCAGACCCGGAACCUGAUUUGGAUAAUGCCAACGUAGGGAGAUA
Molecule: non-coding RNA, 90 nt
Filed under: uncultured Dysosmobacter sp.
Lineage: Bacteria; Bacillati; Bacillota; Clostridia; Eubacteriales; Oscillospiraceae
Source: RNAcentral